Non-coding RNA from Termitomyces sp. Mi166#008, 99 nucleotides. The record is from the annotation of a GenBank genome assembly. Lineage: Eukaryota; Fungi; Basidiomycota; Agaricomycetes; Agaricales; Lyophyllaceae.
GGGUCGAUGGCGUAGUUGGUUAUCGCAUCUGUCUAACAUAGGGUACGAAGACUACCAUUUGUGCCCAGAAGGUCCUCAGUUCGAACCUGGGUCGACUCA